CCUACGGGAGACAGCAGUGAGGAAUAUUGGUCAAUGGACGAGAGUCUGAACCAGCCAAGUAGCGUGAAUGAUGACUGCCCUAUUGGUUGUAAACUUCUUUUGUAAGGGAAUAAAACGCGGCACGUGUGCCUUUUUGCAUGUCCUUUAUGAAUAAGGAUCGGCUAACUCCGUGCCAGCAGCCGCGGUAAUCCGGAGGGACCGAGCGUUAUCCGGAUUUAUUGGGGUUAAAGGGUCCGUAGGUGGUUAAUUAAGUCAGCGGUGAAAGUUUGUGGCCCAACCAUAAAAUUGCCGUUGAAACUGGGGGACUUGAGUAGAUGUGAGGUAGGCGGAAUGCGUGGUGUAGCGGUGAAAUGCAUAGAUAUCACGCAGAACUCCGAUUGCGAAGGCAGCUUACUAAACUAUAACUGACACUGAAGCACGAAAGCGUGGGGAUCAAACAGGAUUAGAUACCCUAGUAGUC
RNAcentral lists this ribosomal RNA (460 nucleotides) under uncultured bacterium. Its description in RNAcentral is "partial 16S ribosomal RNA". It matches the Rfam family "Bacterial small subunit ribosomal RNA", at positions 338 to 795 of the family's 1533-position model. The record is from RNAcentral.